RNAcentral lists this transfer RNA (68 nucleotides) under Bursa rhodostoma. RNAcentral's name for it is "tRNA-Ala". The record is from RNAcentral. Lineage: Eukaryota; Metazoa; Mollusca; Gastropoda; Littorinimorpha; Bursidae.
GACUUAAUACUUUAAUAUAAAAGAUCUGAUUUGCAUUCAGGAAAUAAAUCUAUAAGAUUUUUAGGUCA